RNAcentral lists this ribosomal RNA (773 nucleotides) under uncultured Neocallimastigales. RNAcentral describes it as "partial large subunit ribosomal RNA". It matches the Rfam family "Eukaryotic large subunit ribosomal RNA", at positions 23 to 634 of the family's 3401-position model. Lineage: Eukaryota; Fungi; Neocallimastigomycota; Neocallimastigomycetes; Neocallimastigales. The record is from RNAcentral.
AGAGAGAGACAUGCGCGCAUAUCAAUAAGCGGAGGAAAAGAAACUAACAAGGAUUCCCUUAGUAACGGCGAGUGAAGCGGGAAGAGCUCAAAUUUGAAAUCUUCAAGGUUUUACCUUGACGAAUUGUAGUUUAAAGAAGUGUUUUCUGCUGAAGUUUUGGUAAAAGUUCUUUGGAAUAGGACAUCAUAGAGGGUGAGAAUCCCGUAUUUGACCAUUAUUUUCAGCUUUGUGAUACACUUUCAAAGAGUCGGAUUGUAGGGAAUGCAGUCCAAAAUGGGUGGUAAAUUUCAUCUAAAGCUAAAUAUUGGCGAGAGACCGAUAGCGAACAAGUACCGUGAGGGAAAGAUGAAAAGAACUUUGAAAAGAGAGUUAAACAGUACGUGAAAUUGUCAAAAGGGAAGCGUUUGACACCAGUGUUGUUUUCUCGAAAAUCAAUUAAAAAUGGCUCGAUUUUGUAUUGCUGAGACCUUAAAAGCUCACUGUACAUUUUUCGUGUCUUUUUUAAUGCACUUUUCGUUUAACAAGUCAACAUCAGUUUCUUUUGUUGUAAAAGGGUCAUUGGAAGGUGGCUUUCUUUUCGGAGAAAGUGUUUAUAGCCUUUGGCCUCUGCAAUCGGAGAGACUGAGGUCUGCAGCGUAGACUCUUCGGGGUUAGAUACAUUUGUGCUAAGUUAUAGCUUUUUAUAGACAACUUGUUGACUAUAAUUAGUCAUGUAGCUUACUCGCUUAUGCUAUUUUACCUACGCUUAGGAUGUUGAAGAUGUAGCACAUCAU